This 423-nucleotide ribosomal RNA is filed under the name uncultured bacterium. RNAcentral's name for it is "partial 16S ribosomal RNA". It matches the Rfam family "Bacterial small subunit ribosomal RNA", at positions 359 to 774 of the family's 1533-position model. The record is from RNAcentral.
GAAUUUUGGACAAUGGGCGAAAGCCUGAUCCAGCAAUGCCGCGUGCAGGAUGAAGGCCUUCGGGCUGUACACUGCUUUUGUACGGAACGAAAAGCUUUGGGUUAAUACCCUGGAGUCAUGACGGUACACUAAGAAUAAGCACUGCCUAACUACGUGCCAGCUGCUGCGGUACUACGUAGGGUGCAAACGUUAAUCGGAAUUACAGGGCUUAAAGCGUGCGCAGGCGGUUUUGUAAGACAGAGGUGAAAUCCCCGGGCUCAACCUGGGAACUGCCUUUGUGACUGCAAGGCUAGAGUACGGCAGAGGGGGGUGGAAUUCCGCGUGUAGCAGUGAAAUGCGUAGAUAUGCGGAGGAACACCGAUGGCGAAGGCAACCCCCUGGGCCUGUACUGACGCUCAUGCACGAAAGCGUGGGGAGCAAACA